RNAcentral lists this ribosomal RNA (253 nucleotides) under uncultured bacterium. RNAcentral's name for it is "partial 16S ribosomal RNA". It matches the Rfam family "Bacterial small subunit ribosomal RNA", at positions 524 to 776 of the family's 1533-position model. The record is from RNAcentral.
UACAGAGGUCUCAAGCGUUGUUCGGAUUCAUUGGGCGUAAAGGGUGCGUAGGUGGCGAUGUAAGUCUGGUGUGAAAUCUCGGGGCUCAACCCCGAAAUGGCAUUGGAUACUGCGUUGCUUGAGGAUUGUAGAGGAGAGUGGAAUUCACGGUGUAGCAGUGAAAUGCGUAGAUAUCGUGAGGAAGACCAGUUGCGAAGGCGACUCUCUGGGCAAUUCCUGACACUGAGGCACGAAGGCCAGGGGAGCAAACGGG